Molecule: long non-coding RNA, 415 nt
Filed under: Crocodylus porosus (Australian saltwater crocodile)
Lineage: Eukaryota; Metazoa; Chordata; Crocodylia; Crocodylidae
Description: lncRNA (ENSCPRG00005004565.1)
Source: RNAcentral
CAAUAUUCGUCUUUAUCAAAUAGACGCAGGGCGGUUCGAUGGGGAUGAAGCUGGCUGGACUUCCACGCAGUCGCAGACUGGAGAGCUCUGGCAGUCACUUCUCUUCCCUGGCAGGAUCAAUGAGGGGGUGAAAGAAGUGGAGUGUGCUGGGCUUUCUGGUCCCCCAAUGCCACCCCUGCCUACCUGGGGUGCCUGUUCCUGUUGCAUCUGAAUGCUUCACCCAGUGAGGUGUGCGAGCUCACUGGUUCAUGGGGUCAAAAAGAGAUUCCUCUUCUUGUUAAGAAGAGUCCCUGGACCACAGUGUACCUGUCCUUUUCUGAACAGCUGCUGUGCUGCAUCCCAGAAGUAUCUGCGUUGCAUGGGUGAGUGAAGUAUACCUUUGUCCAUUUUACCUAUGUGACUAUAAUGAGCUUCG